AUUGAACGCUGGCGGCAUGCCUUACACAUGCAAGUCGAACGGCAGCACGGGAGCAAUCCUGGUGGCGAGUGGCGAACGGGUGAGUAAUAUAUCGGAACGUGCCCAGUCGUGGGGGAUAACGCAGCGAAAGCUGUGCUAAUACCGCAUACGAUCUAAGGAUGAAAGCGGGGGAUCGCAAGACCUCGCGCGAUUGGAGAGGCCGAUAUCAGAUUAGCUAGUUGGUGGGGUAAAGGCCCACCAAGGCGACGAUCUGUAGCUGGUCUGAGAGGACGACCAGCCACACUGGAACUGAGACACGGUCCAGACUCCUACGGGAGGCAGCAGUGGGGAAUUUUGGACAAUGGGCGCAAGCCUGAUCCAGCAAUGCCGCGUGCAGGACGAAGGCCUUCGGGUUGUAAACUGCUUUUGUACGGAACGAAACGGCCCUUUCUAAUACAGGGGGCUAAUGACGGUACCGUAAGAAUAAGCACCGGCUAACUACGUGCCAGCAGCCGCCGUAA
Molecule: ribosomal RNA, 500 nt
Filed under: uncultured bacterium
Lineage: Bacteria
Description: partial 16S ribosomal RNA
Rfam family: Bacterial small subunit ribosomal RNA
Source: RNAcentral